This 39069-nucleotide long non-coding RNA is filed under the name Aquilegia coerulea. Its description in RNAcentral is "long non-coding RNA (ACOE_LNC000851)". The record is from RNAcentral. Lineage: Eukaryota; Viridiplantae; Streptophyta; Magnoliopsida; Ranunculales; Ranunculaceae.
UUUGGGUAAUUGAGGAAUUAGGGCUUAAACACUUAUUAUGGUUGUUUACAAUGUUAUUCGGUUUGAAAAUGGAGUUAGGGAUGAUAAAUUUUGACUUUUGUGUGUGGUUAUCUGGAAUUAACUUGAAUAAUUGCUCUUAUUGCACAAUUCGACGUGUUAUCGUUUAUUUUCUACUAGAAAUUUCUGUUUUUAAAAAGUGUUGAUAAAGUAUCAAAGUGUCUCCUUAAAUGUUCUUGCGAAGUUGUGGAAUUCUUUAGCUAGCAAAAACAGUUUGAAAGGUAUAUUUUAUACAAAAUGAUAUUAGGGACUAUAUGGACUUGGAGUUGGACUUAACAAAUUUUAUCGUAGAAACAAAUAACUUAACCCUUUUAAGUAACAGUAAAACAUUUUAGUUCAUCCUCAAGUCUACACACACUCGUAUUACUUAAUUGGGAGCUUGCGUAACCAACUGCAAGAGUACAUACGACUAAAAGGAAGAGAUGGUAAUUCGGUUGUCUAUAUAGAGAUGGAUAAAGGUCUUGUCAUUAUGUGUUGUUUGUUUGUCAAAUUUAGAAAGAAUUCUUUCCAAAAAAUUUAUAUUGAUUGUUUUUGUUUCAUACAUUUUAUUUAUCAUGUAUAAAAGAGGAAAUUUUACUUAUUGUAUUUGAAUGCAUACAUUUCCGUGCAUAUUAGUGGUCUUUUUCUUUUUUCUUAUGAGCAAUAGCUCCUGCAGGUUUCUCAGAUUGAGAAAGACCUAAUGAAGAAUUGAAAUAUAGUAGUAAAUAUCAGGAUCAAGAUUCAUUGUAAAGUUAUUUUUCAACUAAGCAAUCAUGAGUUUUGUUUUCCGAGGGACUAGAGCAGAUCUAGAAGGUGGAUUUCCAGGAUUUAUUCCUGAGCGACGUGCAUUGGUAUGUUUGAGUUAGCAUCUUUAUUUUAAUAUGUGAAGCUGUACAUAUGAUGUUUGAGAUAGCAUCUUUAUUUACAUACUUGAAGCUGGAUAUAUGAUGUUUGAGAUAGCAUCUUCAUUUUUGCAUACUUCAAGCAGAUUGUUUAACUUCAUAUUGCACUGAUUGAUCUCUUCAUCAGCGUGUUCAUGCAGCUCGUCCAGCUAAUACCAAUUCCCUGGCUUUUCUUGUUACAGGUAAAAGAUUUUGUUUGAUGUUUGAUUCCUUCAUUGACAAUGUUGUUUAUAAAUAUGUUUCUUUGCCCGAAUGCUGUGCUCCAUGUUUCUUCUUGCAGUUCUUUUGCUGUUCAUGGUACUGAAUUCACACCAGAUGUCACCAAAUUUUCUGGUAUUUCCUACUCCUGGUGAUUUUAUUGAGCAUAUUACCCUCCUUGCUCUUUGAUAUUUUAUACCAUAUUUAUGGAAAUAGAAAUUAAAGAGAGCCUUCUUUGGAUCUUGUCUUAUAGCUUUGGGUAGUUGUUGGUGUUUUCUUAGUCGCCACAAGCCUUAGGAUGUAUGCAACCUGCCAGCAACUUCAAGCUCAGGCCCAAGCUCGUGUUAUGGCUACUAGUGGAUUGCUUGGUCAUACUGAGUUGCGAUUGCAUAUGCCACCAUCCAUAGAUUUUGCAACAAGAGGACGAUUGCAAGGACUCAGGCUCCAACUUGCACUUCUUGACCGGGAAUUUGAUGACUUAGGUAGUCUUCUUGAUUUCUUUGUGAUAGAUAUGGAUGUAUUUUUUACAUGGAUUUCAAAAGCCCUUCUUUCACUUUAGCUUGAUGAUAACAUAAUUCAUUUCUAAAAAAGUAUUGUUCAUGAGUUUGCAUUGCCCUUUCCCCUGCAGAUUAUGAAACUCUGAGAGCACUGGAUUCAGAUAAUGCCUCCACUGCUACUUCAAUGAGUGAGGAAGAGAUAAAUGCUCUUCCUGUUCAUAAAUACAAGGUCAUUGGCCCACAAAGGCAAGUUCUCUUUUCCUUGUUACCUCUCCCAUUGAUAUUUUUUUGACUUGUAUAACAUGAAAUAUCUAACAUUAUGUAUGUUUCAAUUGUUUACAGUGAUGGCUUAUCACGGCAGGUCUCAUCUUCUUCAUCGUUAGCUGAGGUAUUUAUUUAUCUUGUUAAUUGUAUCAUAAAAAGGGCAUUAGUUAUCCCCCUUCCAAAUGUGGGAAAAACAGACAAAAGGAAGUGUAUUUUAAACCUAUAUGGAAACUUUGUCUUCAGUCAAAAUUGAAGCUGAAGUAGAUGAAAGAUUUAACUGCUUAGGCCGUUGUAUAUGGUAUAGUAUAUGAUACAUCUUUGUGUUACGUCAUCCAGUUUCCCCUAAUUGGAUAAAGCAAGUAUCCCAUCGAUUUACGUAAUAUCAACACCGGAGAUAGUUAGGCCAUAUUUCGAAGUUGUAAAGUUGAUAUCCUAACAGAGACACUGAAAGCUUUAUGCAGUUGAAUUGUGCCUUUGAGUUGAUAUCCAUUGCAAACGCUAUAUUUUUUUCUAUAGCAGGAUGGAUUUAGGAGACCUGUACUUGAUUUAAUAGAGAUUGAUUUCUCUAAUACAUCAUGGCAACAAGGAAUGAUAGUUCCUUCGGUAAAGGAUAACCAAAAUAUCCUUCUACACUUCAGUUUAGUUUAUUAGGAAAUCAGCCACGUUGUUGGAUUGGCUUAAGAUGCGGGUAAACAUGGUUUUCCAAGUUUCUAGUGACUAAUGAGCUCCUCCUUGUCUUCGUCUAGACAUAGUGUUAUCCAGUUGGAGGGUUGCUGUUCAGAAUAUCGAUAGGCUACAAAAGGUAGGGAGACUUAAAGUGCCAAGUGAUUAAAGAUUAUAUUGGUACAGACGUAGAGGUGUCCAUAGGAUGUGAGUUUAUUGGAGCUGGGGCUGUGGUGUUUAAGAACUUCAUAAGCUGCUUUGAUUAUGAAAUGUCCUCUUAGAUUUGUUUCUCAUAAAAUCUUGCCAGUUUCAGCUCUGGAGUUGAUAGUACUCUCUUACCGUUUUUAUAGUGUUCCACAAAGUCUCAGGUGAGUGUUUGGCAAUUCUUAACCUUUUGUGCCAAAUGAAUGGGCUUUACACUUGCGAUGACCUCUGUACCAGAUCUCACGCUACUGAAGUAGUGUUACCAUUAUUUGGCUGCAUUUAUGUAACUAUACUUUAUUUCUUGAACUUAUAUAAGCAUGUUUGUGAUUAUGAGUCUUGACAGGCUAAUUUAUAUUUCAUUAUUUCCUGGGUGAUAUAUGACAGCAGAAAAAUCAAGACUUCACUAGGGUAGAUGGAAACAUGAAGCCUUCAGAAGAUGAACUUACAUGCAGCGUUUGCUUGGAACAAGUCAAUGUGGGUGAGCUCAUCCGGAGCUUACCAUGCUUGCAUCAGGUCAGUGUUCAGUCUUCAUCCCUUAGCUAUGUUCUGUAACGUGAUAGUGGCGAUACUGAUUUGAGUACCCUAUCUUCUCAAACACAGAGGGCUUUGCUUAAGGCUACUUGUUAACACCUUAAAUGUUGCACUUAGAUGUAUACAUUGCCAGUAAACCAAGGUUAAUUCUUGGUGUUAUGUGGGAUAGUGUUAAUUCAUCUCCGCUGUAUUGGAAAAUUUCCAAGCAAAAGGGAGGAAAUAGUAAUGAAUAAAGGUGAAUAAAGGUUGUAACAUAGUUUUACUCUUUAUCUGCAGUUCCAUGCCAUCUGCAUCGACCCAUGGUUACGACAACAAGGGACCUGCCCUGUGUGUAAGUUUCGAGCAGGGUCGGGGUGGCAAGAACAUGGGGAGAGUGGGAUGGAUGCUUCUUACAUGGUUUAAAAGCUCGUGUAACGAAUCUAACUCAUUGUAGUUAUUAAUAUGUAUCUUGGAGAUUAAAAUGAAUGUCUGAAACCAAUCUGUAAGUAGGGGGUACUGGGAUGGAUGCUUCAUGCAUUUACUACAUAUAUAAGAAUGUAUGUAAUACAGAAAUCAAAUGAUGUUGAUUGUAAUGAAUUUGCGACAUAUAUAUAUGGAUGAGGUCAAUUUUUCUUGUUGGAGUGUAUCAUUAUUUUCAACUCAUCGCAAAUUGGUUUUGAAUUGCGAAUUUGAUGCCAUUUCCUACCAAUUGUUUAACAAGGUAAAUUUUCUUUUUGAUUUACACCCUGCUUGUACUUGGUGUACAACUGUACACUGUCUUCCAUAUUAUUUAUUGAGAUCUUGCAUUCUGUCCCAUGUCGUAAAGGGAUGAAACUGUGAAACUGUUGAAAUGGGAUACUUAAGAGCAGUACUUUGGAGUGUUUCUGAGUAAUAAUCCCAAUUUUUAUUUGGACAUAACCAAAGAAUAGACCUUAGGUGAUAUUACAUGGAUAUCAUUCCAACCAGGAAAAAAAAAAAAAACACGGUAAAAGGUGAACUUUUGAUAAAAAUUUUAGCUGGUGUGUUGUGGAAACUUAAUGAUUAAGGGUGUUGCUGAUAAUUUUUGUAGUAGUUGGUGUAACCAUGUUAAGCUUUCUCAUCACUGUGAAAAUAAUGAAAAUGCCCAAAACUUGCUUAGAAGAAAGUUGGGUCGUAAGUCUUUGUUCCCUUGGUUAGAAACUCAUAUCCACAACAAGACCAACUACUCCCUUUGACAACAAAACAAAACAUCUUCUUCCAUGAGCAAUGGAGCAUGUAACAUCCAUGAGCGAUGGAGCAUGUAACAUCCAAAAUUGACUUCAAAACGACUUUAUAUGAUAGUAAUCCUUUGAUUUAUCUACCUUUGUCACCAAAGUUAAGGUUGUUUCAUUAUGAUUAUACUACUAACUAAAUAAAAGAUCGGUAACCUACAUAAGGGAAGACAUUAUUUUGUUAGAUAUGAGAUUGAUGGAAAAUGAAUGGUGGCCGAGUUAGAAAUCUGAGUUUGGGAGACGCUCUAACUUUGUACUUCUCAAGAGUCAAGACCAAACGCCAGCACCCUAAUGCUACAUUCCUCAUGGAGUCAUGGCAGCUCGACCUUAUGUUACUGGUGAAGGAACCUUCGACAAUUCUACUACCACUGGUAAUCUUACAAUACGAGUUGUUAUCAUUAUCACAUACCUCUACAAAGAAACACCCUCUCUUUCGACCAAGGCUUCCUUCCCUCAAUGACACUUCUUUUGUUGCCAAGUUCUUUAAAAAGUUCCGUAGCCUAGCCACUAAACUAGUCAGUUUUCUGUGAAUGUUCCACAAAACUUCUUUUCUUGCCAAGUUCUUUAAAAAGUUCCGUAGCCUAGCCACUAGUGAGUUCCCUGCGAAUGUUCCACAUAACGUGGACAAACAGUUCUUUUUCACUGUGGCAUUGGGUACUAGUCCAUGCCCAAAAAAUCAUACCUGCCAAGGACCUAAUGGCUCCAUGUUUGCCGCUUCUAUAAACAAUAUCUCCUUUGCUCUUCCAACAAAAGCCCUACUCCAAGCACACUUCCCUGGACAGUCCAAUGGUGUAUAUGCGCCAAAUUUCCCUUCGAAACCAACCAUUCCUUUCAAUUACACUGGAACACCACCUAACAACACUUGUGAUCAAUGGAACUAAAGUUGUAGUGCUAUCCUUCAAUACUAGUGUUGAAUUGAUCAUGCAGGAUACAAGUAUCUUAGGUGCCGAAAGCCAUCCACUUCAUCUUCAUGGCUUUAAUUUCUUUGUAAUCGGUCAAGGCUUCAGUAACUACGAUCCUACUAAAGACCCCACCAAGUUCAAUCUCAUUGACCCCCUUGAAAGGAACACCAUUAUAUUGGUGUACCAUCUGGUGGUUGGGUUGCAAUUCGUUUUCUGUCAGACAAUCCAGGUAAAUGUUACCAUCAUCCCUUUAUUAUUUUGAGUGCAAUAUUAAUAUAUUAUUAUGCUAAAGAUUGGUGAUUGCCUGAUUGAUGUGUGAAAUAAUUACAGGUGUAUGGUUCAUGCAUUGUCACUUGGAGGUUCAUACAAGUUGGGGGAUUGAAGAUGGCAUGAGUUGUGUUGGAUGGAAAACUCCCUAAUAAUCAGAAGUUACCUCCUCCACUAGCUGAUCUUCCCAAGUGUUCAAAAUCCAUUUUUUUUAAGAAGCAAAGCAUCAUUUUUACCAGAAAUUUCCUGAUUAUUCUGUAUUUUAUUUUCCCUUCCCACGCGCGAAGAAAGAUUUCAUGUGCUCAACAAUGUGUCAAUGUUAUCAUUUUGAUCAUUUUUUUUUUUUUUUUUUUUUGCACUUGACAAGUGGUAAAAAAAAAGUUAUUUACUUAUUUUUAUUUUUGUUACUGUACAUUUUUCUUGUAUCUUGAUCUACUAACAAAAGUUCAAAUUCAAUUCAAUCGGAUCUUAUUUUCUUUAUUUAUGCUCUUUUAAUUAACCAAUCCAAAAUAUGUUACUCGAUAUUGUUGGCAUUUGGCAAGCAAAAUCUAAAUCUGAUAUAGCUGUAUAGCAUUUUGCAUAUCUUUUUUCGUAAACAAAAUCUACUGACAAUACCUAAUACUGUCCCACUUCUACUUUUUAAUAAAUACAAAUAGAUUAUUGUUUGAUUGCGUAAUAACCAGAACAAAUCAAGGGUAUUUAUAGUAAUUUCACCAACACUGUACCACCACCAGCACCACCGAGUCACCAACACAACACCAUCUCUCUCUCUCUCUCUUCAGUCUUCUUCACUCACCUUUCACCAAAUCUCCACCACUUCCACAUAUUCUGUUCAUCUCCACGGCAUCCACGUCACAACCCAACGCACCGUCCUGAGAUAUCGACGGCUCAAUCAUAACGCCGCCGUAUCGUUGUUAUCAAACUUUAAUUUAAAUCCCCAAACUACCCUUCCGCAUUUCCUUAAAUCUCCACACUUGCCCUCAUCUUCUUCUUCUUCUUCGCUAAAUCAAGUUCAGAAAAUGCAUCAAAGGGGAACUAUAUCGUUACCUAUAAUUGUAGUUCUAUGUGCAAUUGGGUUUAUAUAUUAUACAACGGUUUUUGUUUUUAUAGAAGAUUGGUUUGGUUUAAAAACUUCUCAAGGUUUAAUGAAUGUUGUUGGUUUCACUACAAUGGCUUUAAUGUGUUUAUUGACUUAUGGUAUUGCGAUCGUUAAAGAUCCAGGUCAAGUUCCUGAAACAUUUGUGCCAGAUAUUGAAGAUUCUGAAACUCCGAUCCAUGAAAUUAAGAGAAAGGUUAGUUAUUUUACUUUGAUUAUUGCUCAAUUUUGUUACAGUUUUAGUGUUGUUUUGCUCAAUUUGUAAUCUUAUUAGCUUAUUUUUGUGUAUUUGAGGUUUUAAUUUGUACAAUUUAGCCAAAACUUGCCCCACUUUUUUUCCACCAAUAUAUUGUGUGUUCCCCACUCUAGUGAACUGUGAUUCUGUCUUACCUUAAAGAUUCAUAGAUUUGUUGCUUAGCGCAAUUGAAAACUGUAAAAGAAUGGGCUGGAAAUUAGAGUCAUUCUAGCUUGUAUUUGUUCUAGCAUUUGACUAUACAAACUCACACAUUAUGAAUGUGUUGAUUUACUGAUGUAAUAAUCUUACUGUAUAUAUGGCUUGUUGUGUGUUUUAAUUUGAUCUCAUAGAUACAAAAUUUCUUUUCAUGGUAUCUGCUUCUAGGUUUUUAAUGGUAUAAUAUAUGAAAUAUCUAGACUAAUGUCCACCGUCAGGAAUUAAUGGAUCUUCAAACUCCUCCCAACACUGUAUGGUUUCCAGAGUUCAUGAGGUUUAGUUUAACCCUGGUCUAUGCAUUUAUUCAAAUAUGUGAAUAAGUUAUGCAGAGCUAUGAUAUGAUACUGUAAAGUGUAGUUAUGCAGAAUUAUAGACCAGUGCAAACAAGUUGGGUCAUCAUGAAUGGCAAUAAAUUUCAUAUUUGCCUUGUUAUGCUCAGAGAAAUGGUUUCCCAUAUGGGUGCGAGAAAAAUAUUUUCAUUAUAUUGUAUUGACAGUUUCUAUUCUUGAUCCAAAUACCUGUUUUCUCUCCAUUUUACUUUAGUGAUUUCGAAAGAAGAUCAUCAUAACAAAGUUUGAUGUAAUCUUAAACAAUUCCUACUUUUAAGAAGGUAGAGAUACUUCUACAUCACAAAAUGCUACUUGAAUGCGAUUAUCAUUUCUCAAAAGGAUAAAAUGAAUCAAGUAGGUAAAGCAGAAAUGAGAAAUGUCUUUAGCUUCCACAGUGGACAUGGAUCAGUUGAAUUAACCCUUUUACAUAAGACGGAAAUUGAAACGAAUUUUGUCCCUACUAAUGCUCAUGAACUUGGCCAUCUAAAGCUCUAUUUCUUUCUGAAGUAUAUCUGUCUCUUUUUUAGGUCCCUGCUUUUAGUGUAAUAUAAGUAUUCAUAACAAUCCUUCUUUUCGAUGUUUUAUAUCUAGAAUAGAAUGAACAUGGCAUCACUACUAUAUUGGAAGAAGAAUAUGGUAGGCUUUUGCAUUUUUCUUAAAUCCCUUCUGAGUGAAAAAAGGAACAUAUCUUGUAUCAAUUACUUUUGUCUCUGAUGUUAUGUCUACGUUAGGAUUACCAUUCAAUUUUUGUUUGAUGGAUUUUCUUUUGUAGGGUGGGGAUUUGAGAUUUUGCCAAAAGUGCUCCCACUAUAAACCUCCCCGCGCUCAUCAUUGUCGGGUUUGCAAAAGAUGUGUACUGCGAAUGGUAUGUAUAUAUUUUGACUUGUUACAAUUUUUGAAUGAGAAUAUAUAAAUGUUGAUAUUUGGUCGAAAUUUCUUACUUUGCAAUUAAUAAGUUUGUGAUUGGUUGCUGAAACUGCCAUCCUGUAAACAGGACCACCACUGCAUUUGGAUCAAUAACUGUGUGGGCCAUGCAAACUACAAGAUUUUUUUUGUAUUCGUGGUGUAUGCUGUCAGUGCAUGCAUUCACUCUCUGGUAUGUUUCCUUUACUGUGUGUCUUAUUUCAUCACAAAAUCAAGACUGACUCAUGUCGUUUAUCAAUAUCGUAGCACCCGUGUGGCACUGGAUUCAGUUCCAGUUUGGCCAUCCAUGGUGACAAAUGUUGAUGGUUUGUAUUUGACAGGAAUAUGCGUUUCUUUUCUUUUAGGUCCUGUUUGUGGGUAGUAUUCUUCAUGAUGAUCCAGAGGUUGAAGAGCAGAGUGAUGGUUCAUCCAGACUCUAUUACGUAAGUAGUACGACAAUCUUAUGGUUUCGAUGACAUGUAAAUCUUGAUAUGCCAAUUAUUUAAAUUCCAGUUUUACAUCAGUUUUAGCAAAAAUGUUUUACUCAUCAGUUGGUAUUGCAGAUUAUCUCUGGUUUACUGUUAGUCUCAAUAACUAUGGCAUUAAGCAUCCUCUUGGGCUGGCAUAUAUACCUCACUUUGCGCAACAAGACCACAAUAGAGGUAUGAAGUAAACAAUUGAAAAAUAAAUUUUAUUUUUAGGUGUUUGCUGUCCAUUUUUCACAGAUAUAUUUUUUUCUGUGUUUUCAUUGAUUAUGUUGCAGUAUCAUGAAGGGGUGAGAGCAAUGUGGCUUGCCAAAAAGGUUGGCAAUAUUUAUCGGCAUCCAUAUGAUAUAGGCCCUUAUGAAAAUUUAACUUCGGUAAGAAUAGUUUCCUUGCUUGUAUUAUCAGAAAUUUUUUCUUCUAGUAAGAAUUUACUUCUGACAUCUUUCUUUCUUGAGUAUAAAAAAUUAGAAUGAGGUCUAAGCCCUCCUCUUGUAUAAUUUGGAUAGGCUUAAGUUAUUUAGUCCAUUAUCUUUCUUCUUUGCAACUUUUGUUCGGGUCAGUUUUGGUCAUGUAGUUGGUCACAUAGCUUGAAGUGCUUGUUUAGCAAAUGAAUUUAGUCAUUUUUUUUUAAUCUUUUUUCUGUCUUCCAUGUACUGUAAAGCAUCUAUCCAGAUUUUACUCUUGGAAGCAAUAUCCAUUUCCUUAAAACAUUUGGUCAAUUGAAGAAACUUUUCUUAUACUCUGAGGGGUUAUUUGAUUAAAAAAAUUCCUCUAUAGCUAGCUCUGAAAUAUUUAGUUCAAUAAUGUUUUUGUAAAUUGGUCUUGUCUGAUCCCUGUCCAGGUUCUUGGCCCGAACAUUUUCACAUGGGUUUGUCCUACGUCCAGCCACAUUGGUCCAGGAUUGCGUUUCCAGACAGCCUAUGACAACACACAAUGAUGAAAUUCUCUAUACGAGAUAUUGAUGCUGCAAAUCAAUCACUUCUAAUGGACAAAAUGAAGCUAACCAUUACCAUAGCAGGUAGUCCAUUUUCAGCUGGUCUGCAUGUAAAUUAUUUCCAGGUUGGUUGGAGAGUUGACGUCUCCUGCAUUACAUGGAGUCAAAUGUAAUGUCAAAGUGACAUCUUUCGCUGGUGUUCACUUAAAGGUAACUAAAUACUGAUUGCGGCUCACGAACAAGUAGGGUAUAGAAGGAAAUUGAAAAGGGUAAACAAUGGAAAACUAUUUACUCAUCAGGAGCUGAUUUUUUUGUUUUCUUGUACAAAAGCACCAAGGUGGUGGUGUUAGUGUAAAACCUGGUUGUAGAAUUUAGAAAAAAAAAAAAAAAAGUGUUAGGAUUAUGAUUUUAUCUAAUUUGAAAGAAAGUGAAUGUAAUUGGAUUAUGCAUAUAUUUUAUUUUCUGACACUAUCUUUAGUUUACAGUUUACACUAAUGUCUGAUCUACCCCUCAAGCAUACAUAUAUGGGAAGUGUAAAUGGUAAAAGAUAUUUAACUCAGGAGCGACUUUGGGUUGUAACUGUGAAAAUCGAGUAUAGAACUUAUCAAGUUAUCAGCAGGCUUGCAAUAGUUUAUUUUAUGAUCCAAACUCUUAUUUGGUUUCCAAAGAAUGAAAAUGUUGGGAAGCUAAUUGCUGCUAGCAACUGGACCUAUCGAUACGAAUACUAUAGGAAUGGGGUGUUUGUAGUUGCUAGUUGCUACCUAUAGUACAGUCUUUUGUAUCCGAUUUGUCUCUUAUGUUCUUGACUUAUUGUUGGAGGAGCAUGUACCAAAAGAAGAAUGUAAAUAUCAGAUAUUUAAAAAUGGUAGAUCAGCAUGGGUACCUGGAGGACCAUGUCAAAGAAAGAAAGAAUGUGAUUUACAAUCUAAUUUAAAAAAAUAAAAAAGAAAGUGGUAGAUUGCAAGUUGUCUGUGGGCACUAUGUCGAUCAUCCCAUUCAGGUUGAAGGUAAAGUGAUCGAGUAUGGUCCCUCCACCUUGGAUUAACCCAUGUGUCUGCCGUAUGGUCUAAUCUGAUUCAGAAGUCAUUUUGCUUCAAGUUAAAACACACACUGUGACACACAGAACCACCGAGCGAGCAAGCAACCAAACUUACUUUGGUAUAAAAUAAAGUCUUCUUUUAAAGCAAUUAAACACUGUAGUCUGUAGGUGUGUUUAGGUGCUCAAACCCAUCACUUGCUCACUUGCUCACUUGCUCACUUGCUCAUCUUUACUCUUCAAAGUAAUGAUGAUGGAUUGAUGUGGUGAGGAAAUUACAUCUAAAACUUGAAUUCAUUUCAUUCUUCAAAAAUGGAAGAAAUUCAACACAAUCCAUCUGAUGAAUUUAACAGGUUUGUUUUCUAAUAAGUUUUCAUGAUUUUUAUUUACUCAUAUCCUUAGAAUUGAUCAUGGGGAGGUUAGGGUUUGGUAAUUAGUGAUCUCUAUCUUUAUAUAUUUUCUUGAUUUGUAAGUUGUAUAGGUUUCUAGAAGAUUGAUGAUUUAAUCAAUUGUAGAGCUGUUCUGUCUUAAUAAUAAGAUCUGUAAUAUUACUACCAAGUUUAAAUAGAUUUUACUUAGAUUGAUGUAAAACCCAAGUUGAGGUUUCAAUUUAAAAAAAAGAAACCUUCAUUUUAGCAAUCAGAUUGUUUAAUAUUGUGAUUUAAAUGAAGAUAAUGUUCAAUGCACCAAUAUAAUUAUAAAGCAAGUGUAGUCUUAGAUGAAUGGUUGACAUAAAUGAUGGUCGAUUGAAGAGUGUUCAAUUAGUCUUCGACAUUUUGCACUAGUGCGCUACUUUCAAAUUUUGGAAUGGCAGCAAAACCUCAAUUAACAUCACACCAUGUCUAGUAAAACAUUUUCCAGUUUUCAAUGUUUUAUGAGGCAAGGCUAUUUUUUACAUAUGCUCAUGGUGAUUCAUGGAACUAGGGAGGUUGUAGGCUUGUAGCACAGGUGUUCUUCAAAUUUUGACAUUGUGUUUAGAUGCUUUCUUCAUCUCAUUUAUAACCUGUCAAUUGUCAACCUUUCUUUCAGCUUCCUUGUCAGCAAAAUUCUUCAUGACAACAGUAUUGAUUUGAGCAAGAAGAGGAAGUUACUAGACAAGAAGUUGAGUUUUCCCAUCCGUAAGUAUAAAUUUGGUGAGAGAACCCCUGGUUCUAAACAUUUGUCCCCACUUGUGGAAGAUUUAGAGGUAGAAGAUAUUCUGCAGACGUUGAUGGUGAAAGUAAACAGCAACACUGUGCACCAUGAAAGCAAAUCAACACUACCGGCCUCUGUGAUUGAUAGUAAUAGCUUUGCUGAAGAGUCGGACUGUGCCAUGUCACAAUACACUGAAGUAAAGUCUGAACCAGAAUUGUCAGACGUGUGUAUUCAUGAACAACCAGCUAAUUCUAAAUGGGAGUUUCCAGAGGUCUAUGCUGGUGACAAACCCUCAACUUCCUCUGGGAGCUGUGGCAGCAACAGUUCCAAUAAUACAUUGUAUUCCUUAGACAACAGAAAUUUCAAAAAGUUAUGUGUUGGGAAAGAUGAGGCGCCAUUCCCUGAUGACCAGCACCUUGAAUAUGAAUACCAUGCUGAUUAUGCUUGCACAGACAAUGAACCUGAGGAAAUUAAAGAAUGUAUGGAUACUGAUGCUGAAGAUACGACGCUUUAUUCCAACGGACCAUCUGAUUUGUUUGUACUUUCAUCAGGAAGAUGGAAUAUCAACAAAGGUAAGUCCUUUUGGUGAUAAUACAUAUACCCAACCAGGUAAGAUUAUCCUGCUAAUUUGUGUACUCUCUGGCAAUAUGGAGGUGCUUAUCCUGCUAUAGAUUAUUCAGAAUCUUACGUGCAUUUAGAUUUAUUAGAAUGUCGUUAGUGUUAAAUGUGCUGAUGUUAAAUGUCUCGUCACAUGUUCCCUAGCUAUGUGCAUGCUCUCUGAUGAGAGGGCAGGAAGAAAUCAGUGAAAAGAAACCAUAUUUGAUUAAUUUCGCUGUCUCCAGAUCAAUAUUCCCUUUAUGUUGAUGUUAUCCUGAUUGUUGAUUCAUGUUCUUUUUAAUUUUAUGUGUGUUCAGAUGCUGAGGCUGGAAUGAGGAAACCAACUAUUGAUCAAGAAUUUGAGCAGUACUUCUCUAUGCUAAUGUUGUAGCUAAGACUAUUGUAUCCACAAAUAAAACACAUGCUUCUGAGAUGUUCCUUCUAGACCAUGUUUGUGAUUAUUGUAUAAUAUAAUUACAUAUAAAACGGAAUAUAUCUGAUACAAAUGUCCAACUUGGCCUGCAUACAUCAUCUUUGGCUAUACUGCAAUUUCUGUGUUUUAUAUUUUCGCCAUAUUUUGGAUCCUGUUUAUACCAGACAAAUAAAAAAUUCUUAAGUAGCGGAAUUCAAAUUUAGACGAGAAAGAAGAUGUUAGGUUUUAGUUGGCAAACUUCUUUUCAUAAUGGAUUCCCUUGGUACUGGAGAAAAAUUCCACUCAAAGUUGGUUUCACAGAUGCGAACAACCAUGAACCAUAUAUGCUCCAUAGUUGUGAUAUAUGACAACCAUAUAUUCUACUGAUUUUUGGAAGAUAUCAAGUAAACGAGUAUCUGCCUGUUAGUUUUCCCUUUUGAUCAAGUUCUCUGAUGUAAAAGCAUAGAUAUGAUUUUCCCUUUUCUCUUCUUUUGUUACAUAGAUUGACAGUGUUUUCGUGCAAUGCAUAACCCCUUGAACUUCUCCUUAUAGCAUUCACCCCUGCCUUUCUGGUCCUCUACAUAGCUUGGAUGCUUGUUAAAACUUAGAAGUUUAUAACAUUCUGAAAGGCUACACUUGACCAAAAUUCAAUGGAACUGGACAUGUGGUAAUAACAACAGGGAGUAGAACUAGUGAAGAAAACAUCAACCUUAGACGACAAAAUUUGGAAAAGUUCCAAACCUGAAAUGGCCGGUGCCAAGUUUUUAAAUUUGUCUUUUGGUGGGAUGGCCAACAUUGCAUUGCUUUCCUCUAAUAUAAUUUACAUUAAGAUAUCACCUAUUCAUAUAUAUACAAAUUAGCCACCAAUUUUUUUCAGUCAAAACACCACUCUUUAAUUUGGCAGAGCCUGCAACGGUUGCAGGAUAUUUGUCUCUUUCUCCUAUCAGUUUGUGAAUUGUUGAGCAGUGACAUUGUCAAUCCAACAAGAGCAACAAAACUCUUAUAGAUAGGUAUGAAGGAUGAAUCCAACAAAAAGAUUUGCAUUGAAACCAGUAAAAUAAAAAAGAAACAAGAUAGCUAGAGAUUUAUGGAAUUCUAAAAACUUUCUCAUAUUUCACAAGAAUUAAUUAAGAUGGCUACAUAUUUAAUCAGUCUAGCUAAUCUAAUUGAUUCCAGAAAACCAGACAGAGAGAACUAAGAACUAACUAUAUAAGAAAAAAGAGUUAAAAAACUGAAAUCCUCAAUAUAUAACCUAUACAGGUAUCUCUUUUUUCUCCUAUGUUCUCUGUCUCUCUAUGUAUAUCAUCUUUUUGGUUUAAGAAUCUGAAUAAUCUCUCCAGCAGAUAAGCAUAGUAACACAUCUUCUUAUUAUAUAGAAUCUGGCUCUUUGUUCCUUAACCAAGCUAGCACACUUUCUUGUAAAACAACACCUUCUUCUUGAUGAUGAUGAUGAACUCUUCUUAGAAGAAGAGUGACCCUUAGACCCUGCUUUAUCCAUGCAAUUUAGAUAAACUGUUUCCAAAGAGUCAAAAAAGGUUUGUAAAUGGAAAGAAACUAUUGUGUACUACUUAGGAAGAGAAAUGAGUUUGAUGAGUUAUUAGUAGAGUUGGGGGGUUUAGUUAGUGGGUAUUUAUAAGCAAAAACAUUAAGGAAGAAAGAGCCAAAAAGACUGCAGUAGCCAGUAGUAGUAGUACUACCUGCCUGAACUUUAAUUGCGGCUGUGAGAAGGGAAAGAAAAAGGAGACUAGAUUCAGAGUCAGAAAAGAGUCCUAGAGUAAGUAGACAAGUAGUACUUGCUAAGAAGCUCAGUAGAAGUAAUUGUUUUGGUGUCAAGACCAGAGUCCAUGAUAUUUAAACUGCCCAGCUGUUCAGUGUUCACAAUACUUUACUUCUACAACAAAACACGGUUUUUACACAGCUUUAUAAUAUUCCUUUUCUGACUCUCAACUCUGCUUUCAGUUUUUUUGACCAGUAUGUAACUGCAUCACUGCAUGAAGUACACAGACUCAGCAGUCAGAGCACUAUUAUGCUAGGCCAGAUUCCAGAAUAUUUGUUCUUAUCAACUGGACAUCAAGCUUUACUCAUAACUCAUAAGCUCCACCUCAUUCACUCUAUCCAUGGGAAUCUGUUACAGUGUUACUCAUCAUAUCAGGAUGUGAGAGAUGCCUGUGAGAAAGUUCUGUUUAAGUGGCUAGGUUUUGAUUUCUCUCCAUUGGCAGAAUAUUCACUAGCUUUGCUAAUUGCUAUGUUGAACAAAUUAAAUUCUAUGCUUUAUUCCUAAUAAUCAGAAUUUGUUCCUGUACAAUGUUAAAAUUUUUUGUGACCAAUGUAAUAAAAAUUAAAUUAGUCGCCAAAUUUGAGAAUUUGUUCCUGCGGUUUCUAACAAAAUGCUUGUUAACUUGCCUUUCAGCAUCUUGAUGGACUGAGUCUGACCGAUGAUCAACACCAAAUUUUGCGCAAAUUUACUAAACAGAAGGAAUAAAUGGUCCAUUUUAUUUGAUCUGAUGCAUCUGUAUUAGUUCUGUAUUAAGAUGUGCAUUACAAGCUUAAUGGUGCAGUUCACAAGGAAUUAAUCAUUUCUUCUCUGUCUCUCAGCUUUGUCUACAAGACUAUUUAUCACCAAUGGAACAACACAAUCUUUAUAAACAGACAAUAAGAUCAAGUUUCUUGGUCGGGGGAAAUAUUGUCCCUAAAUAAAAUGAGUUCCCAUAAGAAGCCAUGUUUCAAGGCCAGGAAUGCCUUGACACAAAAUCAAAACACUUUUAAGGUUGGUAUCUUUCUUGUAAUUUGCAAUGACACAUUCAACUUAGAUAUAUGAAAAUUUGUAUCACCUAGGUCCAAGGAGGAGGGCAAUUAAGUAGAUAAGCUAAAAUAUCGCAUAGUAGACGGCUGAGAUUGCAAAAGCUAAAAAAAAAAUGUAUGGUUGAGAUAGAAAAUGCUACAACGACAUGCGAGAAACUUGAACGUCAGCAGUAGUUCAGGUUGAUAGACCACUACCUUACUACGUAGUCCUAUGUUAGCACAUUCCAUGUGGUACCAUGGAUUUGAGUAAAUGAUAGUUUUUGCCUGCAGGUUUAAAUGGCUGCAUUCAGAUAUCAGACAUCCCCACAUUGUUAAUUUCUUUCAUUGAUAAGAAGUCCUCGUAUCUUGGAGUCGGAAUGUGCAUUCUUGAGAGAACCUGGUACCAUGAACAUAAAGAUUUGUUACAGAAAAAAUAUACUGUAUAUGUUUUCUUAGAAAGACACGCCACCUCUAAACUUGGUUCCUUAAGCAGCAUAAAGGGAACAAGACAAUCCAAAUACUGCUGUCAUGCAGAUCUUGUGUUUAAGCCGACCUUCUCGAAAAAUAGGCCAUAUAUGUUUCAUAAAACCAUAUCUUUUGAUUGCAGGCAUUUUAUAAUCUUCUUCAUCAUGAUUCAAAUAUCCCCAAAUGAUUAAGAAUGUAUAUUUUGAUUACUUAGAUCGCUCAAGAACUACGCACUCGUGCAGUUAUAGUGUUAUACACCAGUUUCUGUAAUUACAAAUAGACUAAGCUUGGGUUCUAUCUUGUGUUUCAACUUCCAAAAACAAACAGUUGUCCUUAAUAAGGCUUUAACCAUCUCCAAUUAUAGUGGCACUUUACUGAUUGCUGCUAAACUGCUGGGAAAAGCGCGCAAAGCUGUUAUUCCAAAGAUCAUGGAGAUUACAGUGCAUGAAUGUAGAUUAAUGAAAUAUUAAGAUCACUUAAAGAAAAAUCAAAAGAUAACAAUUUGAUAUGUGUCCUUAUAAAACAUCUAUCCGAGAGCCGAGCACAACAGUAGUACAUUUGAAUGUGAAGUAAGCAACAGUAUAUCGUUAAUGUAUUUUUUUUAUUUAUUUUGUCUUAAUGGAUUAUGUACGCUAACAGUACAGUCUAAUAGUCUAUCAUUGUUAAUGAUUGAACCUAAUUUGUUGACUGAGUUUUUCGCAAUUAAAUCAAGUUGUUUGGGCCCAGAUAAAAUGGAGUUUGGGCCCUUCAUUAAGAUAGGCAAAACAUGGGCGCGUCACACGUAAGCCCAAGAUAUGACGCCAUAGUGGGCCUAUGUGAUUAUAAAGCCCAAUGCCCGGCCCAUUUAUCCGCAACAUUCUGGGUCUAAAAUUUUGGCCCAAAUAUGAUCUCUCAAAAUUCCGAUUGAAAGUACCUUGGAGCAGAGCGCUGCAACUAGUUACCAUGGCUAGACCUGAAAAAGAAAGAUCAUCUCUGAAGUCUGAACCUACUUAUACCCGAUAUCAAACACUCGAACACGCUAAACUUUUCAUCAAAUUUACAUGUACAUUUUUUUUUUUUAAUCAAAUUAUUUACAUGUACAUGGGUACAACAAAAGGAUCGGACUAUCGGAGGAAGAGAGACAGUGGGUCCACUUAAUGUCCAUAGAUUUUUCCAAUAUACAUUAUCAAGUUGCCUAUUCCAAUAUACAUUACAUGGUGAGAACUGAGAAAUCAGAAAUGAGAAUGCCAUGUUACCAAGUCAGCUUCCAUUUCAUUCUUCAUGAAGUGAUGAAACAUCAUCAUAAAGUGUAUUAGAUUUCGAAAUUUGGUUGUUGACUUUGUUCGUACUAGGAUUCUUGUUUUAACCAAGUAACCCAAAUCUUUAAUUUGUACGAGAAUAUCUCUCUUCGUGUUUGUCAAUAUCCUUUAGGUGACAAUGUGAAACAUACAAAUGUUUUAUAAAAGAGACCCCUCACCAGUUUUAUGCUCAUUAAAGAAUGUGCAUUAUAUACUUGAGAAAUAGUAUAUCUGUUGCCCCACAUCAAAAUUAAGGACGAUCACUCAACAGGGAGAAUUCUACAAUCAGGCAUCAUACCUGUUGUUCCAGCUUGGAAGGGAAAAUUUCCCAAACUAUCAAGUUAGAAAAUUGGACCUAGACAUGCGCCAAUCAAGAUGAAUGUAAAAACAAAAUCUAGGUUUCAAUAGAGUAGGCUAUGAAAUGUUAUUGAUUGGACAAAUGUGGAAGUAGUCCAUGUCCAUGUUUAAUGCUCAUGGUUCUAGAGUGUAUUUUGUUGGUCAAUUGGAACCUGUUAAUUCGAGAACUUUUGUUUCUGAACAAAAUUUACCAUAGAUAUUGUGUCGCUAACAUCUGAAAUAACAUAAAAUGAAAAUUCCAACAAGUGAUUAAGAAUUAAAGAGAAAAUUACAACCUAGAUAAAAAAUUAAAAUGAUAGCUUUUAAUUCUUUGGAACAAAUUUGAUUACAAAAAUAGCAAUUUUGAAUCCAUAACCUAGUAUACGACGAGUAUUGUGCACCAUAUUUUCCAAGCAGAUGAUGUAGAAAGUUAACUGAACCAUGAAGAGGUAUGUUGUUCAUGUGAUUGUGAGCUCAUUGUCAUGCAGAUGAGCACAAAUGGUUGAGAUCAUUCAUUCACCUAAUGUAAAUCAUUUAGCUGACAUAUUCACAACACGGCAUUUGAACUCAGUACUAUGAACUUUGAAAGAGUAAGCUCAACAAAUAUCUUGUAACAUAGUGUAAGCAUAUAUUACACAACAUGAAAACUACAUAGAGUGAAAUUUUUAAUUUGAUGUUUUGGACCAUAAACACUUGGACCUGACUAUGGAAGUCCCAGUUUAUUAGAAACCCUCCAAAGCUAUUGUACAUAUAAUAGUAAAAGAAGCAAGAAGACAAGUUAAAAAACAGAUGAUUUCCAUGUACAGGACUUUGUCAAGCGAAGGCAAAAAGGCUGCUCAUUGGUAACCAAGACUGAUUGAUUUGCUGAGAGUGAAAAAGAAGAGAAAAGAGAUUCACCUCUAAAACCUCUUCAUCUCACUGUUAAAACCCAAGUGUCCAAGACUUAAAAGUUCUUCAUGAUUUACUGUUGCACAGAUUCACCUAAGUACAGACAACUAAGAGUCACAGACUGAUUGGAUACAGUUAAAUUCAGAAUAAAGUCAGAAACAAACCUCAUUUACAGCAGAUAUCUCAAGAUCCAAAACACUACAACACAACAGAUCACCAGUUACUUACAAUAGCCUUUGCUAAACAAACCUACAACACAACAGAUCACCAGUUAACCUACACACACCAGAGUAGCAUUCUAAACAAACCUAAAGUCUUAUGUUAUAGAUCUAUCCUUGAAAAUAAAAGCAUAAAGACUUGGAAAGAUCUACCAAGAGUGUGCAAAACUAUAAAAGUACUCACAUUCAAGUAAAAUUUUGGGAAGAUCUUACCUUAUUGUGCAUAGUCAUCUCAUGGAUCAAAAGGAAGAAUAGUCAUUUAUUGCCGAUGCAGCAUCAUCAAGAUUCCCAUCUCUAUAAAGUCCUAUAAGAGUGAUCAAUAUCAAAACCCAUCAUAAGGCUCUUAGGGUUUGUGAAUCUUAAUGAUGCUGCACCAGCAAGAGACGACUGGUUUGAUAUCUUGAGAUCUUCUUCCCUCAUGCAAAAGUAUAAAGGAAUUGAAAAGUUAUGAAAAAAGCUAAACCCUAACCCUAAAUCAACUUCAUGGAGGGGUGACUCAGAAAGUUAAGAAAAGCAAGAAGAAUCUCAAAAGCAACAAACCCAUAUCAAGAAAUUAAAAAUUAAGAAGACCCCACUUGAACAAAAAGCCAAAACAAAAAUUAAAAGAAAAAAGAUCUACAAUAUGAAUAUAAAAGAAAGAAGAGAAGAGGAUAUAGUAGUAAAGGAGAAAUGAUUUUUCCUAUAAGUGUAGAUCAAAUAGCUAAUGGGGAUGAUAGAGGCUGAUAGACAAGUUGAAGAAAGAGAGAACAGGAGAGGAACAGGAGAGGAACAGGAGAAAAUGUGUGAUGAAGAUUGAAGGGGAAGUAGGGUAUAAAUAUAGAAAUUUUGAGGGAGGGGUAUAAAAGUCUUGGACUCUUUUGAGGUGUGAGUAAUGAAUAUGAGAUAGAGAUCUUAUAAGAGGAUUGGUUGGUGGUGAGAUAAUGUGAGAAGAGGAGAGAAGCUGUGUUGUACCCACAACAGUUAUACAUCACAAUCCUUAGUUCCUAAAUUACCAAAAACCUUUAAUCCAUUCUGCCCUAACCACUUACCACUGGUGUUCAAGUAAAUUAUACCCACUUACAUAGGAGACAUUUGGUGCCUUUUUUUCCCUUUAAAUAGGGUGCAUUAAAGUUUUUGAGGAUUUCUUACUUGCUCUAUUAACAUAUCAGUUGACAGAGAUGCCUGACCAAACCACAUUAUCAUGGGGUGCCGGGUGCGCGCUCUAUAAGGAAUUUAUAUGUUGAUUGUUUAUUAAUUAACCCUCCAGUUUUGCUAGUUUUACAUUUUCUUGAGAAAAAAACCCAAGAAAAUUUAUGUCCAUUCUUGGUGAUUUUUUAAUUUUUGAGAUAAACCUUUUGUUUAAGCUACCAAGUAGGCAAGUACACUGUUGUUCUGUUGGAUGGCUUUAUUUUCUCCCACUUAUAUCAUAUCAAGUAGCUUUCAUUCUUAGCUAGCUCUUUGAUAAACUAAUUCCUAAUUUCCACUAGUGUGUUUGAUUAGGUUUGUAAUUGACCAAUGUAAUGUGGUAUAUUGAGUACACUUGGUGCUUUUUAGGUUCCAAACUAUUUAUAAAAUCAAUAAAGAUUGUGGAAUUCUAAAAUUUUAUUUCUCCGUACAAGUAGCUAGCUUUACCAGUGCUGCCCAUGAAAAAAAAAUUAGGUCCCACGAGCACGAGGUACAUUCCAAAAGAAAUAAAAUGAUUCAAAGUUAUCUAACCCUGUUCAAAACUUGAGUAAAUGGCUAACAUUCAUUAUAUUUUGCACAUUAUUGUGUUUACAUACAAAAGGAACUAGUGUAAGAUAUAUAGGUUUGAAGACCACCCCUCAUGAAUGUAAUUUCACCAAGCUAGAGCCUCAAGAAUUGAUCAAUAGAACAGUAGUACCAAAUUUACUCUUAUAUUAUUGGUCAUCGAUCAGCUGAUCAAGUCCUUUCAUUGUAAAGUCUUGAAGUAACCUGUCAAUGUUACAUGGUACAAUAUAUAGUGCUACUUUUCAGCAUACUAGGAUUCAGGUCUCAAUUUCCAUAAAUCUGACCCUUUCUACAAGUUAACACAGUCUUAUAUUAGUAAUUAGUGCAACUUGUUUGUGUUUUCAAAGUUAUAUUAAACUACCAACCUAUGUUUAGGACUAUUUAUAGUAUCUUCUCAAAGUUUUUAGCUGCAAGUCUGCAAUUCCAUCCCAUCCUUGACCUAGCUAGUAUGAAGUAUGAACUAUGGUGGUUACUUGAAGAACUAUAUAAUAUACCAUAUAUGGUUCUUUUGAAUAAAUCAAAUAACUCAUCUAUGUAAAUGGACAGUUUUACUUCUUUUUGAAGUUCUGGGUACUUAUGAGUUAUGACUGUUAUUUUCACCAAAAUAUUUAUGUCCAGCCUCUCCCCCUGAUCACUGAUCAGUUCCUCCUCUACAAGUUACACUGGACUGGAGUGCUAGCUUCUUCAUUGGAUUCAAUUCUAGCUACUACUACACUACUACUACUACCUUAAUUAGAGGCUAUUAAUUGAAAUAAGUCAAUACGACAACCAUGUUUUGAGCCAAAUUUGGUAUUAUUUUGCUUGUACCAAAUUGGAGAGAAUUGAAUUACGCUUAUACGUAGGUAGAUUAGAAAGCAAUCCCAUAUUCCCAUCCAUCUUAAUAAGAUAAAGGAUCAAGAUAGCUAGCUAGGUGUAAUGCACUUGAGAUAUAUAUUACUCUAUCAACUUAUGAUCAGUUGAUGAGUCUGAUUAAUAUGUGGCGUAUCUGUAAAGUGAAACACAUAAUUGUAUGAUGUAAUCUUCUUUCUAUCAAUAUCAAUAGAAUUAGCUGUUGUCUGUUGACCCAAAAAAAAAAAAAAAAAAACACAUAAUAUGGUAUAUGUGACAUUUUUUCAUACUUCUAUUUUAUUAAGAGAAUAACGUGUACAAGCAAAAAAUUUUAUAUGUGUAGCCAACUUCUAUGUGGGUGUGUACAUCCAAUCAUAUGAUGCCACGUGUCUAUAAAGUAGUUGGAAAACUGAUCAAACCCACUAGGGUUAACUAAACCCAUACUAGAUUAUAUUAUUAUUGCCACAUGGCAUUUUGUGAUUGGGUAUACACACCCACAUACAAGUAAGCUACACAUAUAAAAUUCUCAUCUUCAUUAGAAAUAAAGUUCAGGUGAAAGAUAAUAUAUUGAAAAUAAAUAUUUCUUGGCACAUUGUCACAAUUAAUAUGUUGGGACUAAUUCUCUUGGAUCCAAACUAAUGUUUUUUAGCAAGUUGAAACAAAAAACUAAUCCUGAAAAUAAGUGUUCUGAUUAAAUCUUCAUUAAAAUUAUAGUACAAGCUAGAAUCUGUAAGACGCACAAGUGUUGUAUUCAAGAAUUUUGAGGUUUUUUUUUUUUUUUGCUUUGGCUGUUUUGUAUGAGGAAACAACUCAAUCCAUGCAUAAUUGCAUACUAAUUCUUGAUUACAGUUCCAUGAACAUACAUGUAAAAGUGAUGACCCAGCUAGCUGGGGUACGGACGGAUUGAGAGAUGGCCCAUCCCAUUGCCAGAUUUCAAAUCAGAGGAACUGCCAACUGCCAAGUGAAUGAUAUGGGUACGUAACAGUGUAACACUACACAUACAAACACCCAGUUCAUUAGGUGCCCUUGCACUUAAAACUCAAGGGGUAUCCUUAAACAACACUGUGCAUAUUACAUUUGUGCAUAUAUAUAUGUAUACUACAUCAUUGAGGAGAUGACAAUAUUAUUGUUGGCCACGAAGAAAACACGUUGACCCCACUAAUAUAUAUUAAUAAAGUAAUAAGAUCUCAACACGUACAUGUAUCACUACAUACUUGUAUCAUAGUGCCUUUUGAUCAACACAAUCAACAUCAACUCAUCUCGUGAAGCAGCUCAGAUAAAUGAUGAUGAUGGUCGAGAUGAAACUAGCUAAAAGACACCUAUGAACAACCUGUUGAUCUUUGGCCAGGAUGAUGAUUAACAAGUAGACGAUCUUGUUCUUCAAAUUGUAAAACAAUACAGUGUGAUUUGACUGUGGGAUCCCAUCUCUAUCUCAUGAGUAAAAACAAAACUAUAAGAAUAUAUAUAUAAAUCAUGAUUUAAUUUUACAUGCAUUUGGAAGUCAAGAAUGCUUAACAUUGAGAAACUUUUUAAGGUUGAUGAGUGAGUGGACUUAUUGGUGGUGGAUUCUCGAAAAAUUUGAAAUUAUAUGCUUCUCAAGUCAGACUGUAAAACGUAAGUAAUCAAGGGAGUGUGAUGAUCGAUACUUCUAUUAUUCUUAUUUUGCUUGUCUUUUCAUAGGCUAUAGACACCAUCACACCAUAUAUAUGCGGAAACUAUAGAUGUUGUGUCCUAUAUUUUUUUUUUUAACUUUAAUUAGAAAUUAAAAUAGGCGUUUAUAUUUCAAGAUAAAAUGAUGAAAUGUUCAAGAAAAAAACGCGAGCAGGUUUGGGAAUUAGUCUCACACAGCUGCCUUUCCAGUUUCCAUUUAGGAGAGAGUGAAUACCGCAUUGUGGUCAAUAUCAAUUGUUGGGUCGAAUAUAUGCUUGGUGCACAUAUAUAUCAUAGGCCAAAUACUGUGUUAGAUCUGGCGAGAUCCUAACCUGGAACGUAAUAGCUAGUGUAAGACCCACCUGCAGCUUUACCCCUUAUAAAUCCACAGUAUGUCAGUAUUCCUAUUAACAAAUCCUGAUCAGUAUGUCAUAUAAGAAUAGUAAUAUGGAGAACGAGAAGAUGAGAUGUGCAUUAUAAACAGGGAUCGAUGGUAUAAAAAUAUAAGCAUUUACCCCCCUAAUUUGUUUCGCAUAUAGGUUAUAUACUUUUGCCACCCCAGAAUCAGAUUCCUGGCUCCGUGUCAAUAUAGUGUGGGGUUAUAUAUCCUAAACAGCAAAACUGCGAGAAGGAAUCUAAGUGAUGCGGACAACUAUAUAGUGUGGGGUUGUGGAAGGGACGAUCAUUAUAUUGUUACAGAGAAUGAUGCAUGCUGCAUAAGUUAGUAAGUUUAUGGUGUCUGAGUAACUGAUCGAGUUGGCUGUUGAGGAGGUACAUACAGUAUGAUGCUCACAUUAUCUGUCAUUUUUAAUAAUUAUUAUUCCUCUGCUUUAGUCUUUAUUAUUAUUAUUAUUAUUAUUAUUAUUAUUAUUAUUAUUAUGUGGAUGGAUGGAUGAUUGAUGAUGACUGCGUCCAGCGUCCCCCGGCCCCUUGUGUAUCUAUAUAUCUGCAUCAAUCUUAUUAUAACCUGGUCCACUCCCUCUCCCUCUCCCUCUCCCUCUCCCUCUCCCUCAUGCAUUCAUUGCUAUUCUGCUUCUACUACUACGUAGAUCAUUCCCCACACUCAUGCAAGGACAUUUUUCUUAUACUAUGUGAAUGUGCACGCACAAUACCUGUGCGUGUCCGGAUUAAAUAGGUCUCUUAGAUAAAAGAAAGCUCAACCAAAAAAGCCCAACCCAAGAACCAUUAAAUCAUAAAAGAAAACCCAGCGCAGCCUAAAUGCCUAGCCCAGAAUCAUAAAAGAAACCUCAGCCCAGACCUAUUGAAUUUUUUUUUUUUUACUUUUACGUGGGACCCGCCAACACCAGCAGAGAAAAUAGCUGAAAUUAAAAUCUAUCAGAUACGUGUUUUUAUUAGAUUGGCCAGACCCCAGUCGAACCAAAAAAUCAAAUUUCCUAUCCAAUCAUCAACUAUUCACUAUUCCUAAACCAUGCUCUCUUCUAAAGUAGUAAAGAUAUAAAAUGCAUAUAUGUCUAUCUAGCUAAGUAAGCUAGAUUAGGCAGACACUCACCUGUAUAAAUAAAAUCAAAAAAUUACAAUCUUAAAUACAACUUUCCAGAUGUGUCUCCAUCUACAAUUUCUUGUAACCUAUGAUCUAAGGGUGGAAUGAAAAAAGAGCAAGAGUACGUCCGGUAUCUCUUCUAAGGCUGCCAAGCAUAGGUGAAAAAAUCGAAUUUGCCGCCCGGAUAUUCACGAAAUAUUCUGUUUUUUGGCUAUUCGGAUCGGUACGGCAUACGACAUAUAAACGAAAUUUAAAACACCUCAUGCCGUUCGGAAUUUAUCGGAUAUUCACGAAAUAUUCGGCAAAAACCGAAAUUUACGAAAUUUACGACAUUUUUGAUUUGAAAUUAACACAUUUAUUUUUAAUUCCCCAACGAACUAGAAUUUUCGAUGAGAUUAUCAAAAAAAGGUCCAAAAAAGGCACUAGAUGUUUGGAAACUUUCGCGACGAACUUCAUGGCCCUCUCAAUUGAUAUAAUAUAAAGAAAGUUAAAUUUCAUCGAUCAUUUUCCCGCUCAAUUGAAAGUAACAAUUAAUGCUUCUAAGGUUAUUGCAAGUCAGAAUGUAGGAAAGAAUGCAUGUGUCAUAAGAUUAUUAAAUGAGUUCUGUAUUUUCUAUAACUAUCAUCAUUGUAGAGCAAUAUAUUAGAAAGAAACGAAAAAAAAAAGGCACGCCCAUGCCAAAGUGAAGUUCUCUCUCACUUUUAUAAAGUUUUCAUUUAUUUUACGGGGGAGUCUCAAUUUCUUUUUGCCACCCAAGAUGAAGACCAUGCUGCAUGGCAACAACCAAGAGAAGGAAAACGACCUCGACAGAAAAGACCGCAUCCUAAAACGGAAACAAAAUCAUCUAGGGUAUCUUCCCAAGGUUCGUGGAACAUUCCUGACCAGUUUUCUUCCCAAGGUUCGUGGAACCUCUCUUAUUCUCAAAGCAACAUCCAACCUACCUAUGUUUACCCUCAUUUUUCUUAUGGUAACAUGGGAACCUCCCAAAGUGAUGAUUCCAGUGUACCAUCCUACCAAACCCAACCAGAUUCCAGAGGUUCUUGGUUUCCUAAUAUAGGGAGUUGGUUGGCCCCAAUGACAAGUGGGUCGGACGUGCAGUCAGCCGAUACAUUAAUGCCGGUUCAACAAUACUCGAGAUUUCCUAUCUUUGAAUCAUUUGCUCCGUAUUGUAUGGAUCAAGAUGCAUAUGAUAUGCAUAUUGACCAAUUCAGGUCGUACGAGCAAACAAUGUCAUGGGAAUAUUACUGUACUGAGUUCGUCCCCACACGUAUGCGACUCGAAGCUCAUCGGUUUGACAUGGGGCGUCUAUCAUUCUGGGGUUAGCAUGUCUUUUAUUUUGAUUAUUAAAAUAAAACUAUGGGUUGAGUUGUAAUGAGGUUGUUUGUGUUUAGUUCUUGUAUUAGAAACAUAUAAAAGUUCUAUGAAUAUCCGCCCGAUAUUUACGAUUUAUUCACCUAUGAGUAAAACUAUCUUGUGUAAUAGUUCCGCCUUAGCUUCCUUUUAUGAUUUGUCGUGUGUUUAAUUUGUAAUGUAUGUUUUUCUUUUAAUUAUAAGUUUAUAUAUUGAAAUCAGAAGAAAAACACGAACAGUGCAGAAACCUCCCAAUUUUCCGAAUUUUUCGCGAAUAUUCGCGAAUAUCCGCGAAAAAUUCCGGUACAUUUGAAUUUACCAAAACUCCCAUAUCCGACAUGGGAGGUCGGAUAUUCGCGGAAUAUAUCGUUUUUGGGAGGUCGGAUAUCCGCGUUUAAACGACAUUUUCACCUAUGCUGCCAAGUAAUCUGCAGCAGAAUUAAUUACAUUCUCUAUAAAUGUGGGCGAUAGUGGCAAGUUCCAUCAUCUGCUUAAUAUCAGCAACCAUCUCAAUGUUCCAUCAUCUGCUUAAUCAUAAUCUUAGAAGAAUUUUAUAUGAAAGAGUUGUUCUAGCGUUUAACACAUUAAUUAAACAUAAAUAUUGACACAAUAGCAUCCGCACCCCUUUGAUUUUGGCACUUACCCCCCAAAAUGAAAGUUGAAAUUUGCGUUCCCCCCCCCCCUUUAAAAUAUAUAGCAGUUUUCCCCCAAUUGGACAAAAAAAAAGACAGAGUUAUGAAAAUCAAUUUUUGAUUUUUUUUUUAUAUAAAAUAUUUUCACAAUACCAAAACUACCCCUCUGUUUUUUAAACAUAUAUUAAUUAUACCUCCCACUGAAACAUAUAUAAGUAGUAAUACCCCCCACUAAAAUAUUUUGAAGAAAGAAAAUGAAAUUUGUUUGCGAAACUAGGUAAGAAAACAUGGGUGAUUGAGGGAAACAUUUAUCUACUAUUAUUUUUAACAAAUUUUUCAAACAAAUUUCAUCUUCUUUCUUAAAAAUUCAUCCUUCUCUUUCAAUUUUUUUUGCAAAUCGAUUUGGGGGGUAUUUUUAAUUAUGUAUGUUUCAGUGGGGGGGGGGGGGACUAAUUAUGUUUAUUAUUUACAUGUUUAAAAAAAGGAUAGUUUUGAUAUUAUUAAAAUAUUUUAUUUUACGAAAAUUCAAAAAUUGAUUUUUGUAACAUCAUCUUCUUUUUUCGUCCAAUUGGGGGGUAACUGCUAUAUUUUUUCAAAUGGGGGGUAACGUAAAUUUCAACUUUCAAAUGGGGGGUAACGCAAAUUUCAACUUUCAAAUGGGGGUAUGUGCUUAAUGAGUUAAUCAAUGGGCUUUUUUCAUUGCAAGAAUUUCUCAGGCCGAGAUGUCGGGCAUUUGGGCCUAGAGAAUGAAGCUUUUUUCGUAUAUGGAUAUAAUCCAGUCGUGGGCCCAUUUUACCGAACUUAGGGCCCAUUUCACAACUGAUGGCGCCCGCCUGGGGGUCUCGGCCCUCGGUUGAUACUUGAUACAAGAAGCAGCAUAAUAGGUAUGUUGGUUUAUCUACUGCGCGAACAAGAUCUCUCACUGGUCACUGUUAAGUGUCAAUUCAAUGAUCAACUAAAUCAUCUUACUGUCUAUAAUGGCGGGAGCGACUGAUUAAAAAUGUUGCUAUUCAUCAACUAAAAUUUGUAUGAAGAUAAACUAAUCUGUCCUCGGCCACAAAAUGAUAUAUACAGUAUUACUAAUAAAUUCAGGCAUUGUAUUACACUGUGAAUAUAUAGAAAACGCGAAAAAAUAAAAAUCUGCUCACAUUGCAUCAUUUUACAUUAAGAAAAGAGAGAAAACUUGAAUUUUGUAGGACGCACUAAGAACCUACAAUGAAGUUUUGUAACGUAGCAUUUGUGUACUUGACUAGAUAUACAUAAUUUGUAGUUUUAGAUAGCCUCCAAAGUGAGCCACAAAGGAAGGGGCUAAAAAACUUCUAUCUUUUGUUUGAGAGAAAACAAAUCAACACUUUGGGAGAUCAAAUGGUGGAGGAGGCAGCUUUUGAUUUGGAGUUUCUCCAUUCAAGACGAGCCACGCCAUUCUCAAACCCCAGCUUGUAUGGAUAUCAAAGUGGCAGUGCAUAAGCCAUACGCCUGUUUACAUGUCAACAUCCAACACAAGUCAGAUUUGCUAUUGUACAAAGCUUAGUUUGAUCGCCAAAUCACAUCUAACAAAACAAUAGUUAUCAGCACAUUAUUGGUAAGAAAAGCAAUAUAAUAGGUAGUGUAACUCAAGUAUAUUCAUUACUAUAAGUUACAUACUUACAUGCCUCCACAGUAAAGUUAGAGAAAUGACACGAACCUGGAUUAUCUGCAAAGAAGCGAAGAGCCAUCCAACCACCAGGAGGCACACCAACAGUAUUCCUUUCAACAGGGUCAACAAGAUUGAAGUUGGCAGGGUCCUUAUUUGGAUCAUAAUUCCCAAAACCUUGGCCUACUACAAAGAAAUUGAAACCAUGAAGAUGAAAAGGAUGGCUCUCAACACCAAGCAAGUUAGUGUCCUGCAACACUACUUCGACGCUAGUGUUGAAUGGUAAUACAACCAACUUGGUUCCAUUGUUUACCAUAGUGUUGUUAGGUGGGCUGCCAGUGUAGUUGAAAGGGAAAGGUGGAUUUGUAGGGAAGUCGGCAGUAUAGAUACCAUUAGACCUUCCAAAGAAGUGGGCUUCAAGGAGAGCAGUAAUUGGCAUAGUGAAAGAGACAUUGUUGAUUGCAGCUGCUAAUUUGAUACCAUUAGGCCCCUGGCAGGUAUUGUUUCCUGGGCAUGGACUUGAACCGAUUCCAAUUGUGAAUAAAAGACGCUUACCGACUGUUUGAGGAACAUUAGCAGGGUAUUGAGAAUUGGCUAAGCUAUGAAAUUUCUUCGUAAAAUUUGUAACAAAGGACGUAUCAUUUAUUGCUGGAAGAGUUGGUUUAAAUAACGGAAGCUGUUUUAUUGAAACAGAGGAAUAAUUGUAGGGUUUUUUAUAUUCAAGGAUCCCUGCAGUGGUGGAACCAUCAAAAGGGGCUAAACCAGUGGCAUACGGUCUGGCUGCCAUGAGAAAACUCGCAUUGGGGUAGUAUGAUUUAGUCUUGAGUAGGACAUUGGCGGUCUGUCCUGGGGUGAGGAGAAGGGUAGCAGUGCUAAAAGGUUUAAUAUAGACUGCAUCGGCAUCUACAACAGUGAGUGUAUGGUCAGCAAUGCUAAAGAAGAGGUCGUCAUUUACUGCGGCAUUGAUUAAACGGAGAAGAUAGGUCUUCCCAGCCUUCACCUUCAACUUGAAUGUAUCUGUAAAUGCCAAAACUCAAAUCAAACAUGUAAGAAAUGCUUCGUGUUCAUGUCUGGCCUGCUAUCUUAAUUAAUGCCAAAUGCAGUUAACUAAUUAAAGACAUUUACCACAAAGUGUCAAAAUGCCCACAAUUACCUUUUGUAGAGCAGUUGUACAAAGGACCUGGAAAUCCAUUGAUGGUGUAGGCAUCAGAAAUAUUUGGCCCUCCACCUGUCUGUAAAGCCUGCGAAAUAACGUCUUCAGGGUCUGAAUUCCACCAUUCUCCUGAACCAUAAUAUAUACUUGAAUUAGUUGAAUUCACUACAACACAGAAGUGGCAGCUUGGAUUGAUCUUAUUCACCGUGAGUUUACCAAAGAUGAUUGGGACUUCCUUGUAAGGCUUAGCAAAUGGAUAGGAAACAUUUCGCUUCGGGAGGAUGAUUAUAGGUCCAUAGAGGGUUGACCUCAGCCAUGAGAUGUGAGCAUGCCAGAAGAGAGUCCCUCUCUGACCAGUAAUGGUGAAGUUGUAGACAUAAGUUUGGCCAUUCUGUAUCGGACAUUGAGUAACAUAUGCAGGUCCAUCUGCCCAACCACUGAGAAGUUGCCGAAUUCCAUGCCUUUUUGCAUGCAUGAUUCAUCAUUACCCAGACAGAACCAAAACAAACACAAUUUAGAAUAAAUCUACAAAUUCACUGACAAUCUGAAUGGAAUAUAGGACAUACUUCAUCACAUGUAUAUGACAUCUAUAGCCAACUGCUCAGCUAAAAAUAUAUACAAAAGACUACUCAUGGUAUAUACUAAAACUCGAGAAUUUUGCAAAUUAUAUCCAUACCAAUGCAAAGUGACAUUGUUUUGUACAUGGUUUACAACCUUAACAAUCACCCGAUCACCUUCACGUACAAUUAUUGGAGGGCCAGGAAGCAUUCCAUUCACGCUCACAAUGCUCUUUGUGUGGCACAGUCUUGUUAUCUUCUGCAACUUUAUCUAUAAAAGAUAGUUAACAUGUAAUUAGAAAAUAAACAAAUGUAUUUCAAUCAUAUUUGACAAAAGUAACUCCAAAGUGUGUGAUCAAAGUUGAUCGGGAAAUGUACCUCAAACGUGUAGUGCCUCGUUAUGCCAGUAUUCUUAGCAAGUACUAACCCUGGAAGUUGCAGGAAAACACCUAAUCCUAGUAGCAAAGCUCUUAUACUUAAACAAAAGAUUGGUGGAGAACCUGGAAUAGGUGAAGCAACCAUGUCUUUCUUUUUUGCUAUCUCUGGUACAAUAUUUUGGUGACAUAGUACCAUCUGUAGUGUAACUGCAUAUAUAGAAUUUGAUUAAAGUUAAGUUUUUGGUUUAUCAUGUGAUGAGACUUCAAUUCAAGAAAACUACCAUAAGCAGUCUAGCUUCAUGUCUUUCUUAUCUAGAAUAUUCCACAUUUUGGUGAUAGUUGAGCUUAAUGUUAAUAUUAAUUGGAGUGAUAUUAAAGCAAAGAAAUUAUUAGGGUUUAUUUCUGAAGAUUAAAAUCCAAGGACUUUUCGCAAAUGUAACACUAGUAGAUUAUUCAUUUUUUUUAUUAUUAUUAUUAAAGAAUAUUAUUGAGAUGUAAAAAGAAUUUUUACACCCUGAACAACAUACACAUAUGAAUAUGCAUAGUCAGGUUAAACCCAAAGCAUAAGCUUACAAGAGAAAGACUCGAACCAGUCUCAACAAAACAGUCUUACAGUUACAGAGGUCCUUAUUCCUGCCUUAUGUAAGUUCCCAUGAUGAUGCUAUCCCAAUUCUCAAGGGAAGGUGUCUUCCAAAACAAUGGGCAAAGUUUAUCUUCAUUUACUCCCUUCUAGAAACAGAACUUGUUGUUGUUUUUAUCCCCAUUCCUUCCAAGGGCUACAAAUUUCUUUGAUAUCUUACCAAAAAAUGUGUAUCAUGUGUAUUGACAUUGUUCAUAGAUUGUUAUAAUUUCUUUUGUGUUUGCACUCUUCAUAUAAUAAUGUAGGAUGGUGCAAUUUCUUCCUCUGCAAUUUAGAGAAAGACAAAGAUGUAUCACCUGCAGCCAAUUGAUUCAUACAUACAUUACCCACAGUGCUGAAAACAAUUGAACACACAUCAAGAACAAGACGUCUCACCUAGCUAUGAGUUAUGACACCCUUCCAACCCCAACAAGAACUAAAGAAAUAAAAGCAAAAAUUGUGUAAACUCAAUUUCUUGACAGGUUUUCAUCCAUGAAAUUCAAGUUAUUAGUAUUACUGCUUGUUAAAUGUGAAGGUGGAGAAAAUUUACCACCUUCAUAAACAAAUUUGGGUAAGAUUUCUCUAAAGGCCCACGUUUUCUUAAAGGAGUCCGGCCCAAGUUUUGUUGGACUUGGACAACAGGCCUAAUGAGCUUAUAGCAUCCGACAGCAAAUUAUAGGGCUAUGUUCCACACUUGCCGCUUUCGAUUGUCAAAGCUUAUAGCAAAUUAUUAUUAUUGACUCAAAGCUUCAUUAUGCAUUGCAGCAUAAUGGAUUAAAAGAACUUGAAAUUAUAUUUCAGGUUUUGAACUGAAGUGGUAUUUGUAUAUAUGUAGCUUUCGAUCAUUGGACGGACCCUAGAAAGAUAUCUUGGUUUCCAUGAACCCUAGAAAGAUACCAUAGUAUCAAAUGGUCAAACUUUGGUUAUGCCAAAAAGAAGAUUGCCAAGAAAAACUUGUCAUCUUUUUAGUCAUAUUAAUAUGAAAUAUGUACACUACCUUGAUAUACAGUACAUUUCAAUUUUCAACCAAGGUACCUACCAUGGUUGAUUUUAUUGAAAAAGUAGUUGGAAAUAUAUGAGUACUAAUUAAGAAUUUAAAAUCAAACAUACAUCUAUGUUGACAAUCUCGAGAAUGAAAUUAAUCAUCAUGUUCCUUUACAUUGUGGGAUCCGAAAUUAGGGAACAACUCAACUAAGAAAGAUCUGUAAAAAUUAGAAAAUUGUAUAGUGGAAAACUGAACUAAGAUGUAUGGAUCUUGGAGAGCCAUUUACAAAGAAGAAGUAAAAUUUCGAACAUUCCAAGGCAUAAAAGCCAAUACCAAUAGCACAGCAAAUAUUCCUAUAGGAAGUAAUAACAGCAUCAAUGGUGGAGGUGGCAAUGGUGGCAAGAUUAGAGGAAGAAGUAACAAAGAAGCAGCAAGACAAACCAUUAAGAAUAAAGAUUCAACACUGAAAUAACUUGAUGAAGAGACAGAUUUUUUGCUACUAUUUCCUUGUGAAAGAGACCAUAGAUAAUCUCUACUUUUUUCUUGCACCAAAGUUCUUGAUCUUGUUCUAUGAUGAUCCAUUAAAACAAUAAUUCUAUUCCUUAAAUCAACAAAUUUCAAACAACUCAACUCUUCCAAGUAGCUCAACCUUAAACCAAGUAUGUAUAUGUUCCAAUCUUCAAAUCUUGAAAUGACUUCUAUUCACCUUGCUUGAUGUGUUGUUUCCUUCCUUCACUUGUGUUGGAAUGUUGUUCUGGUUUUUGAAAGCUGUGUAGGUAAAGAUAGAAAUGUUCCUUGUUUAUAUUUGCAGUAGAUUUAGACUUUAGGAACAAUACAAAGGAAUGGAAAGAGGAAAAACAGAUAUGGGGGGUUUUGGGUUACAUUCAGUGAAUUUAAUCUUAAAUAAUGCUGACACGCAAGUGGAUUGUUUGGGAAAUAGGGGUCCAGGGGGAGUGUUGUGAAUUUUAAGGUUCUUCCCCCUUGGUCAAGUUAAUCACAUACUUAACCUCACCUAGUGACCUCACAUCUUUCUUUUGAGUUUUGACCCCUCUGUUUCCAGCCGUUGCAGUAGCACCCUCUCUUUUUACUUUCACCUCCUGUCUCUUCUUUUCUUUUCUUUUCUAGAUUCUCUUUUAAUAUUCCUCUCACAUGUAAAGACCACUGUAGUCUAUAACUCUGUAGUCUGUACUGUCCAUCACCACACCCUUCUCUCCCUCACUCCAUAUAUAUAUGCUGAGAGGUAAAAAAAAAAACAAAAAACAAAUCAAGAUCUGUAGAUGGGGUUAUAAUUUGUAUGCUUCACAAGCCUAGAUGUAUAAAUACAUUGUUUUUUUUUUAUAAAUACAUUGUUUUGAACUCUCACCAAAUGACCAAAUACUACUUUAUACUAUCAAUGAUUUUCAUGAUCAAUAUAGUACUAUAAUUAUUUUAUACAAUAUUUAUAUAUAAUAAAUUUAUUUUUUGGUAAAUUAUUUUUUCACUUGAAUUUAUAUGAAUCCUAGAAAUCUCUACUAGGAUUUCAUGAAGCCCUACGUGUCACACACAGUCACACACAUAUCUCUACAUAUAUAAUUACAGUUUUACCCACACAUAUCUCUACAUAUAAUUAUAAUUUUACCCUCAUAUAUCUCUACAUAUAUAAUUACAAUUUUACCCACACAUAUCACUACCUAUAAUUACAGUUUUACCCAUAUAUAUCUCUACAUAUAAUUACAGUUUUACCCACAUAUAUCUCUACAUAUAUAAUUACAAUUUUACCCACAUAUAUCUUUACAUAUAAUUACAAUUUUACCCACACAUAUCUCUACAUUUAAUUACGGUUUUACCUUUAUCAUAAUUAUUAUAAACAUACCGUAUAAAAACCCAAACCCAUAUCCAAUACUUAUAAUUACGAUUUUACUCUUAUCUUAAUUAUUAUAAGCAUGUUGUAUAAAAGCCCAGACCCAUACCCAAUACUGAUAAUUUCAGUUUUACUCUUACCUUAAGUAUAAAUAGGCCAUAUAAAAACCCAAACCCAUACCCAAUGCUAAUAAUUCCGGUUUUACUUUUACGUUAAUUAUAAGCAGGCUGUAUAAAAACCCAAGCCCAUACCCAAUAAUAUUUAUACACAUAGAUACUGAUAAUUUUGUUUUACCUUUACUUUAAUUAUGAGCAGACUUUAUAUAAAGGUCCAAGCCCAUACCCAAUAAUAUCCCCACUUAUGCAGCAUGCAUAAGCGUGCAUAUUCACUUAGUUAAGUAUAAGGAUGGUUGUUAAGAUUUACAUUUUUUUUUUUUUUUUUUGGUAAAGUCCUAAGAUUUACAUAAACACUUAAGAUGUAUGUUUAGGAGAAUAAUUAAAUAAUUACUCCUAAUCGUUAUAGAGUCAAGAUUUUCUGUCAAAAAAAUACGCACACACCAAGAAGUGAAAGUGAACAAAUUAAAUACAGUAAAAUAAUUAUUGGAAGUUCCUGGAUCUGUCCCUGGUUUGAAUGGGGUUGUGGGUGACCAAAUCAGAAUGAUUCAUAAUUUCUAGAUGUAGUAAAUAAUGGCUUUAUAUAUUGGUAUGGUCAGCUUCAGCUAGUAUUCCUUGAAUGCAAAUUAGUACACGAACAAAAGGUGUCUAAAAGGUCCCUACAUGUCUAAGAACACAGAGAUAACUUAGAACCCACUUCUUGUUCAAUACAGCGAACCUUCAUCCAUUUGGCCAUGUGCAAGCACAUUAUCAUACAUUCAUACCUACUUAUAUUAACCAAAAACUAUAAUGCUUGAUUCAGUUUAUAUAACUCAAUUUUAACAUUUUGCAUGUGUCAUGCUCAUGCCUCCUUUUGACCCCCAUUAAACAACUUAUUAGGCCAAUAAGUCAAAAUCAUUCAACUCAAUUUCUUUGAAUACAACUUACAGAGGUUAGUUAUUCAAGCCUCCAUAGGUAAUCCAAGUCUCUUUCUAGCUAUCUUCUUUACAUAUUGAAGUUGUUCAUGGACUUUAGCCUCUGGUUCGACUGGUCAUAUUCCAUUGUGGCAGCAACGUUGUGACUGAGUUACUCGUAUGUGCUGCUAGUAGGCCACUAUAACAAAUAACAAUACAAAGUACGUACAGUCCUGUUUUGGUCCCCAGUAGGCCAGUACAGUGUCUUUGAUUUAUUUCCGCUGUAGUUAACAGUAACACUGCAUUUUUUGUGCAAUUAAUGUUUUGACUUAGGAUGAACACACUCAAAUAGUCGUAUGGGCCAGUAGCCCACUAAAGUCAUUGUAUUAACCUAUUUCUAGAUUAAUGCAUUAACAGGUUAGGUCGCUUUGAGGACUUAACCAAAUGGGGAUAUUUUGGAUAGAAAUGGCUGCACCUCGUUGAGAUCGAGAUUGCCUACGUACUCUAGCUCGGGGGAAUUGAACCUAGAGAUCAAGCCAUCGUAGUUCUGUUUAUAUAGGAGAUGGAAGGGCGUGGAUCGUGGAUCUUGCAGAUUCUCCGCCAUCAUAAUGAUGAUUAAAUGUGUAACGCGCGAGGAUCAUCCCUGUGAAUUAACUCCGUAACUGAAGAGAAUAUUCUGUGCAUUGAAUAGGAGCACGUGUGAAUAGCAGGUCGCUGGUCGUUGUGUAGUCUGGUCGCUUUAGUCGAGCUUCUGGUGAGUCGAGAUUGUGGCGACCUGACAGAUUGGUGAUUGUGCCACGUGGCUGCUUUUGAUUGGUCGGAGUAUGUAGUACCCCUACAUAAGCCCCCUCUUUUUAGGUCGACUAUUGGAGUCGGGCUGAAAAGACUAAUUACUCUUAUCGAUGCUGAUUUGUAGUUUGCUUUUUGAAGUUGCUGACGUGGCAGUCAUGCAGCGCUGUCUGUGGUAAUCAUGGCGCUGUUAUGGGGAAGUGGAGGAGUUUCCUCGAGCAGUUAGAUGUGUGAUUAUGGCAACUGAAGCACGUACUGCCUGAUUUGCUAUUUGUCUUGCACGUGGAUCAAUCCAACGGUGGAUGCGAACCGUUUUGUGAGUGGAGGAUGACUGUACUGCAUAUGGAUCCGUUUGUCGAUCUCAGCCGUUCGUUUGUUUUGAAUCGAUGGCUAGAAAUUCUUGAGCUACAGUAUAUAAACUGUAGUUACGUUGAUGUAGGUUUACUCAUCUUGCCUUUAUUUGAAUUGCUGCCGCUUUUGCCUUGCGAACUGAAGAACUUUGAGAGCUCGUGAGGUUUGUUCUCUUUUCUUUUCUCUGAUUGCUUGUUUUCUUUCUUUUUCUUCGUCUGUUGUCUUCUGUAUUGCUUGAGAGUAAUGUCUGAGGGUAGUGAUUCUCAAAAUGACCACUUGAGUGAUGAUGGGAUUGAAGAGUAUGAGUCUGAGAGUACUCAUUCUGACCCUCCGUCCCCCGUUCCCGAUGAGAUUGUAGAUAGCCCCCAGAGUAGUGGUUCUCAUGGUCCAGAUUCGUCUGACGAUGAGAUGGUUGAAGAUGAUGAUGGUAGAAUGUGUAGGAUUGUGAAUAUGAAUUAUGUACAUAGGCAUUUUGCUGUUAGGAGUCAUUACAAGUUUAGGUCGAUUAGGAAUUUAGAGAUAAGGUUUCUUGGGGACCGCUUACUUUCUCCUGAUUACCGACCUCAUAAUCCUUCAUCUACUGUAUUGACAUUGAGCCAAUUCCGUGCUGGCUUGAGGUUGCCGUUGUCUGAAUUGGUUGUCGACUUGUUGAAUGCCAUUAGGCGAGCCCCCUGUCAGAUGAAUGGUAACUUCUGGCGGAACAUGAGGGUUAUUGACGACCUCAAUAAGUUGCAUAGGUGGCACAUUACAGCGGAAGAUGUAUUGAACCACUUUUGCUUCAAACGCUCUUCGAAGGUUGAACUUUCUGGCUAUAACAUGCAGGUUAGGCCAGAUCGUUUGCCUCUGAUUUAUCCAGUGAGUAGCGAGCAAUGGUGGAAAGAUCCCAUGCUAUUCACUGGGCCGAUUGUUGAAGGGGAUGUCCCAUUGCGACAUACGAUCAGGAAUGAUGAUCGUAAGUUAGUUGUCUGUAGUUUGAUGAUAGUUCGUCUUCUUGUUUUUGAACUUGAUAUGUCUGAAUUUAUUUUUCUGCAGCGAUUCGGGACGAUCAUCUUAGAAGGAACGAUCUGCAGUCUGCUCUGAACUGUUUUGGGAAGUUGGCUGACAAGCGGAAGAUCUCGUUUCUGCCUCACCUAAAGGAGCACUUCAUUCCUAAAGGUGGUCCAAAAACUGUGGUGGCUGAGCUCAAGAGAAGGAAAGCUUUGAAGAAAGUAUACAUGUCUUCUGUGCACAAAGCUAGUGGUGGGCGAGCUAGUAGUGGUUCGCGAGCUGAUGAUAGUGAACGGGCUAGUGGUAGCUCGAGGGGUGGUGAGAAGGAACGAGCUGUUGCUAGCUCGAAGUCUGCUGAGGAGAGGGGACGAGCUGUGUGUAGCUCGAGGGCUGGUGAGAGAGAGCGGCCUGCUGUUGCUGCUCGUAGGCCGGAGAAAGAACGGCCUGUGGAGAGUGAGAGAGUUGGUGGUGGCUCGCGCCAGGUGGAGGCAGUGGCGAGCCCCCAAGUUGUGUCUCCUCCGCCUUCACUUCCCAAGCUGCCUGCAUUUUCUGGGCAGAAGAAGAGGUCUCACUCGGGUACUCUGAAGCUGUUGGAGAGACCCGUUGUGCCGACACCUGCUCUUACCCCUCCUGUUAGGGGUCCUGAGAUAUCUGCUUUGUCGAUGAAGACUGUUGCUCGGCCUUCGCAGAAAGGCAAGGGUGUGAUGUCUGAGUUUCGCCCUGGGCCUUUCGACUACUUGGAUGGCCGUGGUGAGAGGCAUGUCGUGUAUGACAACGACAGUGCCAUUGAUGACCCUUGCGUCGCCCGAGCUGUGAAUGAGGGCAUCGUUCUGGAGGCUGAUGCUCGAGCUGUGAAGUCUCAAUCCCUCUUGGUCAACUGCUCAAAGCUGAAUUCGGCGCUGUCUUUGGUAGGUGUUGCCAAAAAGUCUUAAUUUCUACUUUAGUCGUUUUUGUCUAAGUUGCUUUCGCUUUGUAGGUGAACGCGACCUUCCAGGAGAUUCGUUUGGUCGCUGAAGUUGGCGCCCAGGCUGAGGUUGAGCUGAAGGCGAUGAGUGACAAGCUUGAGCAAGCGAAGAAUGUUGCCCUUGUUGCGGAGUGCAAGGUGAGGGAUAGGGAUUGUCAGGUUGCGGCGCUGAAGGAGACAGUGGAGCAGCUGAAGGAGGCCAACGAGCAGCUGAAGGCAAAUGUGGCUGCUGCUAACGCCUCUGCUGAGCACUGGCAGAACGUAAGCCAGGAGAAUGGUGCGGCGUGGCAGGCCUACUGUGAGCAGCUGCAGAAAGCUUUGAUGGGGUCGCCCGAAGGAGAGGAGACGCGAGGUGGUGUUGGAGAUACUUCGGCGCCAGCUCAGGACACCUCGAUGGGCCCUAGCGAACAGGUCGUUGGAACCCCUAUUGAAGUUGAUACUUCAGGCGGCCAGUCUGUGCAGCAAUGAGCUCGCCUUGGUUUCCCCUUCUUAUAUUGGGUAACCUUGGUUUUCCCCUUCUUGUAUUGGGUAACCUUGGUUUUCCCUUUCUUGUAUUGGGUAACCUUGUGCACAGUUUGCUUCUUGCACUCCUUGUUCUUGCAAUACGUCUUCCAUAGCUUAUUCACGAAAGCCCCCCUUGUAAUCUUUGAAAGCUUGACUGGAGAACUUCUUGUCUUUUGUAUUUGGUGUUGGUAACCAGCUUUUAGUUUGAUGAGUUUUGUAUAGAUUCCUUUUCGCGAGCUAGUUUCCAGGAAGUCCUGGUAGCUCGUUCAGAAGGCAGGUAGACGAGAUGAAUGGCUGCAAGCAGGACGCACUGAAACAGUUCCUCUUGUAUGCCUUGAUUCUAUUUUGGUUGUACCUGUAAUUGUUAAAAUCUCAUAAAGUAAAAGUUAAUUUAACUAUUUACCUUGCAUUGUUGAUUAUGCCGUUUUGUCUGCUUGAGUGGACUUGCAAACAAUGUGUGACAUUUGUUCGACCUGAUCGGGGGCUGAGGUCGCUUUUAACAUAACUGUGCUUGGGUCGUGGAAGGAGAAAGACCAAUGCACCAAGUUAAGUUGCUAGUGAUUUAACUUAACAAAUUUUG